CCCUUCAGAGGGGGACAACAGUUGGAAACGACUGCUAAUACCGCAUACGAUCUAAUCUCGGCAUCGAGGAUAGAUGAAAGGUGGCCUCUACAUGUAAGCUAUCACUGAAGGAGGGGAUUGCGUCUGAUUAGCUAGUUGGAGGGGUAACGGCCAACCAAGGCGAUGAUCAGUAGCCGGUCUGAGAGGAUGAACGGCCACAUUGGGACUGAGACACGGCCCAG
RNAcentral lists this ribosomal RNA (221 nucleotides) under uncultured Veillonellaceae bacterium. Its description in RNAcentral is "partial 16S ribosomal RNA". It matches the Rfam family "Bacterial small subunit ribosomal RNA", at positions 129 to 334 of the family's 1533-position model. The record is from RNAcentral. Lineage: Bacteria; Bacillati; Bacillota; Negativicutes; Veillonellales; Veillonellaceae.